AACGAACGCUGGCGGCAUGCCUAACACAUGCAAGUCGAACGAGACCUUCGGGCCUAGUGGCGCACGGGUGCUUAACGCGUGGGAACUUGCCCUUAGGUUCGGAAUAACUCCCCGAAAGGGGUCCUAAUACCGGAUAAUGUCUUCGGACCAAAGAUUUAUCGCCUUUGGAUGGGCCCGCGUUGGAUUAGCUAGUUGGUAGGGUAAAAGCCUACCAAGGCGACGAUCCAUAGCUGGUCUGAGAGGAUGAUCAGCCACACUGGGACUGAGACACGGCCCAGACUCCUACGGGAGGCAGCAGUGGGGAAUAUUGGACAAUGGGCGAAAGCCUGAUCCAGCAAUGCCGCGUGAGUGAUGAAGGCCUUAGGGUUGUAAAGCUCUUUUACCCGGGAUGAUAAUGACAGUACCGGGAGAAUAAGCUCCGGCUAACUCCGUG
RNAcentral lists this ribosomal RNA (433 nucleotides) under uncultured bacterium. Its description in RNAcentral is "partial 16S ribosomal RNA". It matches the Rfam family "Bacterial small subunit ribosomal RNA", at positions 29 to 507 of the family's 1533-position model. The record is from RNAcentral.